AGUGAUUGAAGCCAAAGUCAUUUGCAAUGGAAAAAUCCCGAUAGUUGUAUUAAAGCUCCAUCUAAAGAUAUUUGAAGAACUCAUAAUGUAGUCACAAAAGUCUCUUUACUACGCAUCAGAAGAGAUGUAAAUAAUCUCACUAUAACUUGCUCUAAUAGGGGUCUCGAGGCAACUUCCAUCACCAUUUAUGAUAGUGCAAGAGAAGUUGAGGGGCUCUAUUUGACGAGUCUCUCAUUAAUAUAUUUCUAGUAUAUUUAGUAUUUUUUUUUUGUAUUUUUUGUAUUAGGUUUAGUUUACUUUUAGUUGGGUAUAUUAUUAUUGGCUAGCAAGCUUUCUUGUCCUAGAAAUGGAUAUGCCCUUUAUUUUGUAAUUUUGAAUUUUUUGUGAUAAUGAAAUACAAUUUAUUUUCUUUCAA
Molecule: long non-coding RNA, 415 nt
Filed under: Lathyrus oleraceus (garden pea)
Lineage: Eukaryota; Viridiplantae; Streptophyta; Magnoliopsida; Fabales; Fabaceae
Description: Pisum sativum (pea) long non-coding RNA (PSAT_LNC028016)
Source: RNAcentral